ACACCAAUAUGUUAACGGUGUCUUCAACUGCCGUCCUUGAUUUUGGCCAUCUUGACAGUAAUUAGCAGAAUUCAAGGGUAUCUUGAAUUUUCCCUCUAAGUUUGAUUUUCUUGUGGUUUUAUUAAACAGAUACAGAUGGAGGCAGUAGCAUGGUAACACCUCAAAAUCAAGCAUCCAGCAGCUGAAUCCGAAAAACACAAGAACAAGGUGGUCUCAGAAAUUUGGAGUGAAGCCAGAGGUGAAGUGAGACUUUCUGAAGCUGCAACAAUACCUCUACUCUACUUAAAGCAAUUUCUGGUGUCAUCACCAUGAGAAGGACAUACCACCCCAGAAUAAGGAGAGGCAAAUGGAUUAGACUUGAAAUGAACCCAGAGCCUGGAUUCAAGCACAGCUAAACCCAGCUUGGAUCUCGUAAUUCCCAGUCCUGUGCAGAAGAACCGUGAGACCUACAAUAUAUUUCAAUACCUUCUUUCAAUAAAUAAAUGCUCAAUUUUGUAAGACA
This is a long non-coding RNA of Gorilla gorilla gorilla (western lowland gorilla), 502 nucleotides long. RefSeq lists it as uncharacterized. The record is from RefSeq and is a predicted model, not a curated record. Lineage: Eukaryota; Metazoa; Chordata; Mammalia; Primates; Hominidae. The transcript has 4 exons.